GUACGGGAGGCAGCAGUGAGGAAUAUUGGUCAAUGGGCGAGAGCCUGAACCAGCCAUGCCGCGUGCAGGAAGACGGCCCUACGGGUUGUAAACUGCUUUUGUGUGGGAAGAAAACGUUCUACGUGUAGGACACUGACGGUACCAUAUGAAUAAGCAUCGGCUAACUCCGUGCCAGCAGCCGCGGUAAUACGGAGGAUGCGAGCGUUAUCCGGAUUUAUUAGGUUUAAAGGGUGUGUAGGCGGACGAUUAAGUCAGUGGUGAAAUCUCACAGCUUAACUGUGAAACUGCCAUAGAUACUGGUUGUCUUGAGUACAGUUGAAGUAGGCGGAAUGUGUAAUGUAGCGGUGAAAUGCUUAGAUAUUACACAGAACACCGAUUGCGAAGGCAGCUUGCUAAGCUGUUACUGACGCUGAUGCACGAAAGCGUGGGGAGCGAACAGGAUUAGAUACCCCUGUAGUCC
Molecule: ribosomal RNA, 460 nt
Filed under: uncultured bacterium
Lineage: Bacteria
Description: bacterial SSU rRNA
Rfam family: Bacterial small subunit ribosomal RNA
Source: RNAcentral